This 725-nucleotide ribosomal RNA is filed under the name bacterium ocme08sprp600. RNAcentral's name for it is "bacterial SSU rRNA". It matches the Rfam family "Bacterial small subunit ribosomal RNA", at positions 48 to 769 of the family's 1533-position model. The record is from RNAcentral.
GCUACACAUGCAGUCGAGCGGUAACAGAAAGUAGCUUGCUACUUUGCUGACGAGCGGCGGACGGGUGAGUAAUGCUUGGGAACAUGCCUUGAGGUGGGGGACAACAGUUGGAAACGACUGCUAAUACCGCAUAAUGUCUACGGACCAAAGGGGGCUUCGGCUCUCGCCUUUAGAUUGGCCCAAGUGGGAUUAGCUAGUUGGUGAGGUAAUGGCUCACCAAGGCAACGAUCCCUAGCUGGUUUGAGAGGAUGAUCAGCCACACUGGAACUGAGACACGGUCCAGACUCNUACGGGAGGCAGCAGUGGGGAAUAUUGCACAAUGGGCGCAAGCCUGAUGCAGCCAUGCCGCGUGUGUGAAGAAGGCCUUCGGGUUGUAAAGCACUUUCAGUCAGGAGGAAAGGUUAGUAGUUAAUACCUGCUAGCUGUGACGUUACUGACAGAAGAAGCACCGGCUAACUCCGUGCCAGCAGCCGCGGUAAUACGGAGGGUGCGAGCGUUAAUCGGAAUUACUGGGCGUAAAGCGUACGCAGGCGGUUUGUUAAGCGAGAUGUGAAAGCCCCGGGCUCAACCUGGGAACUGCAUUUCGAACUGGCAAACUAGAGUGUGAUAGAGGGUGGUAGAAUUUCAGGUGUAGCGGUGAAAUGCGUAGAGAUCUGAAGGAAUACCGAUGGCGAAGGCAGCCACCUGGGUCAACACUGACGCUCAUGUACGAAAGCGUGGGGAGC